This 206-nucleotide unclassified non-coding RNA is filed under the name Hevea brasiliensis (rubber tree). Lineage: Eukaryota; Viridiplantae; Streptophyta; Magnoliopsida; Malpighiales; Euphorbiaceae. The record is from RNAcentral.
UGGGAGGGGAUUGGAGAUAACCUUCAUUGGCAGAUGGCUGUAGAAAAUUUUUUCAGUUAUGUUAUCAUGAAAUACAACACGAUUCAAAACAAAUAACUGGCUAUUAUGCAAAUAAAGAUAAGUUAUUCCUAUUUUAGGUCUUGCAAUUGCAAUUUUAUGAUUUCAACACAAUGGUAUUACGCAGAAGCAAACCUUAAGAGAAGAAA